UACGUAGGGUGCGAGCGUUAAUCGGAAUUACUGGGCGUAAAGAGUGCGUAGGCGGUUCUUUGUGUCCGCUGUGAAAGCCCCGGGCUUAACCUGGGAAUGGCAGUGGAAACUAGAGAACUCGAAUCUGGCAGAGGGGGGUGGAAUUCCGCGUGUAGCAGUGAAAUGCGUAGAGAUGCGGAGGAACACCGAUGGCGAAGGCAGCCCCCUGGGCCAAUACUGACGCUCAGGCACGAAAGCGUGGGGAGCAAACAGG
This 253-nucleotide ribosomal RNA is filed under the name uncultured bacterium. RNAcentral's name for it is "partial 16S ribosomal RNA". It matches the Rfam family "Bacterial small subunit ribosomal RNA", at positions 524 to 776 of the family's 1533-position model. The record is from RNAcentral.